RNAcentral lists this ribosomal RNA (841 nucleotides) under uncultured bacterium. RNAcentral's name for it is "bacterial SSU rRNA". It matches the Rfam family "Bacterial small subunit ribosomal RNA", at positions 28 to 891 of the family's 1533-position model. The record is from RNAcentral.
GACGAACGCUGGCGGCAUGCCUGACACAUGCAAGUCGAACGGAAAUAGCAAUAUUUUAGUGGCGGACGGGUGAGUAACACGUGAGCAAUCUGCCCUAUUCUACAGUAUAACUAGGAGAAAUUCUGGCUAAUCCUGUAUAAGACUCUGAUAUCGCAUGAUACAAGAGUAAAAGAUUUAUCGGAAUAGGAUGAGCUCGCGCCCCAUUAGCUAGUUGGUGAGAUAACAGCCCACCAAGGCGACGAUGGGUAGCCGGCCUGAGAGGGUGAACGGCCACACUGGAACUGAGACACGGUCCAGACUCCUACGGGAGGCAGCAGUGGGGAAUAUUGGGCAAUGGAGGGAACUCUUACCCAGCAAUGCCGCGUGAGCGAAGAAGGUAGUAAUAUUGUAAGGCUCUUUGAUCAGGGACGAAGAAAGUGACGGUACCUGAAGAACAAGCUCCGGCUAAAUACGUGCCAGCAGCCGCGGUAAUACGUAUGGAGCAAGCGUUGUCCGGAAUGACUGGGCGUAAAGGGUGAGUAGGCGGUUUAUCAAGUCGGGUGUGAAAUCCCCAGUGCUCAACACGGGAGUUGCAUCUGAAACUGAUAGACUUGAGUAUGGGAGAGGAAAGUGGAAUUCCUAGUGUAGCGGUGGAAUGCGCAGAGAUUAGGAGGAACAUCAGAGGCGAAGGCGACUUUCUGGCCCAAAACUGACGCUGAUGCACGAAAGCGUGGGGAGCAAACAGGAUUAGAUACCCUGGUAGUCCACGCCGUAAACGAUGGAUACUAGACGUAGGAGGUAUCGACUCCUUCUGUGUCGCAGCUAACGCACUAAGUAUCCCGCCUGGGGAGUACGACCGCAA